AGCUUGAGUUUCUCUUCAUUAUUGUAUAAAUCUUUUACCUAUUACUAAAGAUUUCUGUGAAGGGGAACGUUUUGCAAGUGACCUGUGUAUUUGAAGGCUCUGAUCACAGCAGAGCU
RNAcentral lists this small nuclear RNA (116 nucleotides) under Sinocyclocheilus anshuiensis. Its description in RNAcentral is "U5 spliceosomal RNA (ENSSANG00000000636.1)". It matches the Rfam family "U5 spliceosomal RNA". From Rfam's summary of the family: U5 RNA is a component of both types of known spliceosome. Lineage: Eukaryota; Metazoa; Chordata; Actinopteri; Cypriniformes; Cyprinidae. The record is from Rfam by way of RNAcentral.